GACGAACGCUGGCGGCGCGCCUAACACAUGCAAGUCGAACGGAGUUGUGUUGAAAGCUUGCUGGAUAUACAACUUAGUGGCGGACGGGUGAGUAACACGUGAGUAACCUGCCUCUCAGAGUGGAAGUAACGUUUGGAAACGAACGCUAAUACCGCAUAACGUGAGAAGAGGGCGAAUCCGUCUUUUUACCAAAGAUUUAUCGCUGAGAGAUGGGCUCGCGGCCGAUUAGGUAGUUGGUGAGAUAACAGCCCACCAAGCCGACGAUCGGUAGCCGGACUGAGAGGUUGAUCGGCCACAUUGGGACUGAGACACGGCCCAG
RNAcentral lists this ribosomal RNA (319 nucleotides) under uncultured bacterium. Its description in RNAcentral is "bacterial SSU rRNA". It matches the Rfam family "Bacterial small subunit ribosomal RNA", at positions 28 to 334 of the family's 1533-position model. The record is from RNAcentral.